UUAUUCUCCAAGCUGCCGGUGGACUUUCUAGUCGCAAAUGCGCAAAUUAACGAACGACCACCCGCACACGAGGCACACACGGAUGUCUCUUUAAUCGUGUUUUCGAUAAUACGAAGAAAAUCGAUCGAGCACGUGUGCAUUUGCCACGGAAUGAUUUUAGGUAUAGCGUAAUACUAACCAGCACCAGGUGGCAGAGUAGCUUGAACCCUCGAUGUGGCGGAACUUUGUAAAACCAAGAUCGCUAUCUGCACGGCGGCACCAAGGGAAGAGGAAAAUGCCGUUCGUACGAAAGUCCAAAGUAGCAUCGCGCGUUGGCCGAUGAGCGGCCGAGCUCGUGCACCGCUCUACUGAACUAUGCCUCGACCCUUGCGCUAUACCUUGCGCUAUACCUUGUGCUAUACCUUUCCACCUCUCUUUACGAUUCCUCCUAUAUACAGGGUGUCGCGUCAAAUACUCAUAGAUGAUAAGUAUAAUAAGGAAAUAAAUGAGAGAGAAAAAACACAAAGGAAAGUAAAA
This 516-nucleotide long non-coding RNA is filed under the name Polistes fuscatus (common paper wasp). RNAcentral describes it as "uncharacterized LOC122517151". The record is from RNAcentral. Lineage: Eukaryota; Metazoa; Arthropoda; Insecta; Hymenoptera; Vespidae.